RNAcentral lists this transfer-messenger RNA (366 nucleotides) under Borrelia turicatae 91E135. RNAcentral's name for it is "transfer-messenger RNA Borre_turic_91E135". It matches the Rfam family "transfer-messenger RNA". From Rfam's summary of the family: Bacterial tmRNA, also known as 10Sa RNA or SsrA, is named for its dual tRNA and mRNA-like properties. Its role is to liberate the mRNA from a stalled ribosome. To accomplish this part of the tmRNA is used as a reading frame that ends in a translation stop signal. The record is from RNAcentral. Lineage: Bacteria; Pseudomonadati; Spirochaetota; Spirochaetia; Spirochaetales; Borreliaceae.
GGGGAUGUUUUGGAUUUGACUAAAAACUUUAGUAGCAUAAAUUGCAAGCAGAGGGAAUCUCUUAAAACUUCUUUAAUAAAUGCAAAAAAUAAUAACUUUACAAGUUCAAAUCUUGUAAUGGCUGCUUAAAUUAGCAGAGAGUUCUGUUGGAUUUUGCUUUGAGGUUCAGCUUAUACUCUUUCAAGACAUCAAAGCUUGCUUAAAAAUAUUUCAAGUUGAUUUUUAGGGACUUUUAAACUUGAGAGUAAUUUGGCGGUUUGCUAGUUUUCCCAAACCUUGUUACUUUUUUUUAAAACACUAGCUAAGCUUGUAGAUAUUUAUGAUAUUAUUUUUAGGACGCGGGUUCAAUUCCCGCCAUCUCCACCA